GCUUAAAGGGGCCGUAGCUGGCCGAGUAAGUCUUUCGGGAAAUCCGCUGGCCUAACCAGUGGGCGUCCGGAGGAUACUGCUCGGCUUGGGACCGGGAGACCAAAGGGGUACGUCCGGGGUAGGAGUGAAAUCCUGUAAUCCUGGACGGACCACCGGUUGCGAAAGCGCCUUUGGAGAACGGAUCCGACAGUGAGGGACGAAAGCUAGGGUCUCGAACCGGAUUAGAUACCCGGGUAGUCCUAGCCGUAAACGAUGAUCGCUAGGUGUGGCACAGGCUACGAGCCUGUGCUGUGCCGUAGGGAAGCCGUGAAGCGAUCCGCCUGGGAAGUACGUCCGCAAGGAUGAAACUUAAAGGAAUUGGCGGGGGAGCACUACAACCGGAGGAGCCUGCGGUUUAAUUGGACUCAACGCCGGACAUCUCACCAGCUCCGACAGUAAUCAUGACGGUCAGGUUGAUGACCUUACUCGACGUUACUGAGAGGAGGUGCAUGGCCGCCGUCAGCUCGUACCGUGAGGCGUCCUGUUAAGUCAGGCAACGAGCGAGACCCGCACCUCUAGUUGCCAGCAGCAUCUCGCGAUGGCUGGGUACACUAGGGGGACUGCCGCCGCCAAGGCGGAGGAAGGAACGGGCAACGGUAGGUCAGUAUGCCCCGAAUGAGCUGGGCAACACGCGGGCUACAAUGGCCGGGACAAUGGGAAGCCACCCCGAGAGGGGGCGCUAAUCUCCUAAACCUGGUCGUAGUUCGGAUUGAGGGCUGAAACUCGCCCUCAUGAAGCUGGAUUCGGUAGUAGUCGCGUUUCAGAAGAGCGCGGCGAAUACGUCCCUGCUCCUUGCACCCACCGCCCGU
RNAcentral lists this ribosomal RNA (848 nucleotides) under uncultured haloarchaeon. Its description in RNAcentral is "bacterial SSU rRNA". It matches the Rfam family "Archaeal small subunit ribosomal RNA", at positions 508 to 1353 of the family's 1478-position model. The record is from RNAcentral. Lineage: Archaea; Methanobacteriati; Methanobacteriota; Halobacteria; Halobacteriales; Halobacteriaceae.